Molecule: small nucleolar RNA, 88 nt
Filed under: Plasmodium gonderi
Lineage: Eukaryota; Apicomplexa; Aconoidasida; Haemosporida; Plasmodiidae
Description: small nucleolar RNA snoR23
Rfam family: small nucleolar RNA snoR23
Source: Rfam by way of RNAcentral
UGUGUAUGAUGAGAAAAAAAAAAAAAAAUUAUUUAACUUUCGUUCUUCUGUAUUUCACGAAAUGAUGAUAAUUUUUAUUCUGACACGA